UACGUAGGGUGCAAGCGUUAUCCGGAAUUAUUGGGCGUAAAGAGCUCGUAGGCGGUUUGUCGCGUCUGCUGUGAAAACUGGAGGCUCAACCUCCAGCCUGCAGUGGGUACGGGCAAACUAGAGUGCGGUAGGGGAGAUUGGAAUUCCUGGUGUAGCGGUGGAAUGCGCAGAUAUCAGGAAGAACACCCGUGGCUAAGGCGGCUCUCUAGUACGGUACUGACGCUGAGACGCGAAAGCGUGGGGAGCGAACAGG
RNAcentral lists this ribosomal RNA (253 nucleotides) under uncultured bacterium. Its description in RNAcentral is "partial 16S ribosomal RNA". It matches the Rfam family "Bacterial small subunit ribosomal RNA", at positions 524 to 776 of the family's 1533-position model. The record is from RNAcentral.